Long non-coding RNA from Corvus moneduloides (New Caledonian crow), 2658 nucleotides. The record is from Ensembl. NCBI's taxonomy places the organism in Eukaryota, Metazoa, Chordata, Aves, Passeriformes, Corvidae.
AUGUCACCCCCAUCCCGGUGUCCCCCGAUCCCGGUGUUCCCCAGAUUCCGUUCUCCCCCCGAUCCCGGUGUCCUCCCCAUCCCCGUGUUCCCCUAUCCCGUUGUCCCCCGAUCCCGGUGUCCUCCCCAUCCCCGUGUUCCCCUAUCCCGUUGUCCCCCGAUCCCGGUGUCUCCCCGAUCCCAGCGUCACCCGGAUCCUGGUGUCCCCCCGAUCCCGGUGUCCCCCCGAUUCCGUUCUCCGCCCGAUCCCGGUGUCCUCCCCAUCCUGGUGUCCCCCCGAUCCCGGUGUCCCCCCGAUUCCGUUCUCCGCCCGAUCCCGGUGUCCUCCCCAUCCCGGUGUCUCCCCGAUCCCGUUGUCCUCCCCAUCCCGGUGUCUCCCCGAUCCCGGUGUCCCCCCAAUCCCGUUCUCCCCCAGAUCCCACAGCGAUCCCACACCGGGGUCUCACCGGAGCAGGACCGGGGGUCCCGUGCGGGCUCGGGGGGGCUGUCGGGGGCCGGUUCCCGUUCCAGCGCGGGGCACGGCAGCCCGCGGGUGAGGCGGGACAGGUUGGAGGUGAUGUGGAACGGGACGGUGACCGAGAAGGGGCCCGAGAUGUGGAGCCCCGCGCAUUUCUCGGCGCGGGAGCGGCCGGAGAGCCCCGGCCCGGCCCGGGGGGCUUUGGGGGUGGUGGGCUCCGAUUUGGUGCUGCUCUCGGCCGCCGCUUCCAGCGGCUCCUCCAGGCUCUCAUCCAGCUCCGGGUGGGAUUCCGGGAGCGCCGGGGCGGCGUCCGAGCUCUGCUGCCGCUGCGGCCGCAGCUUCACCGACAGCUUCGGGAGCAGCCCGGCGGUGUCCGCGCCUGGAAGGGGCGAGUCCGGAGCGGGCACGGGGUGCGGGGGAACCCCGGGGUGCCGGGGAGGGUCCCAGGGUGCCGGGGGGUCCCGAGGUGCCGGGGGGGAUCCCGAGGUGCCGGGGGGGAUCCCGGGGUGCCGGGGAGGGGUCCCGGAGUACAGGGGGAUCCCGGGGUGCAGGGGGGAUCCCGGGGUGCCGGGGGGGAUCCCGGGGUACGAGGGGAUCCUGGGGUGCCGGGGAGGGUCCCAGGGUGCGGGGGGAUCCUGGGGUGCCGGGGAGGGUCCCGGGGUGCGGGGGGAUCCCGGGGUUCUGGGGGGAUCCCGGGGUGCCGGGGAGGGAUCCCGGGAUAUGGGAGGGAUCCCGGGUGCGGGGGGGAUCCCGGGGUGCCAAGGGGAGUCCCGGGGUGCGGGGGGGAUCCCGGGGUGCCGGGGAGGGUCCCAGGGUGCGAGAGGGUCCCGGGGUGCGGGGGGGAUCCCGGGGUGCUGGGGGGGGGUCCCGGGGUGCCAGGGGGAUCCCGGGGUGCCGGGGGGGGUCCCGGGGUGCGAGAGGGUCCCGGGGUGCGGGGGGGAUCCCGGGGUGCCGGGGGGGGUCCCGGGGUGCGAGAGGGUCCCGGGGUGCGGGGGGGAUCCCGGGGUGCCGGGGCAGGUACCGGGAUAUGGGAGGGAUCCCGGGGUGCUGGGGGGGAUCCCGGGGUUCUGCGGGGAUCUCGGGGUGCUGGGAGGGUCCCGGGGUGCCGGGGGGGACCCCGGGGUGCCGGGUGGGUACCGGGAUAUGGGAGGGAUCCCGGGGUGCGGGGGGAUUCUGGGGUGCCGGGGAGGGUCCCAGGGUGCGGGGGGACCCCGGGGUGCCGGGGGGGGGUCCCGGAGCUCCGGGGAGGGUUCCAGGGUGCGGGGGGGAUCCCGGGGUGCCGGGGGGGGUCCCGGGGUGCUGGGAGGGUCCCUGGGUGCGGGGGAGUCCCGGGAUGCCGGGGGGGGUACCGGGAUAUGGGAGGGAUCCCGGGGUGCUGGGGGGGAUCCCGGGGUUCUGCGGGGAUCCCGGGGUGCUGGGGGCGUCCCGGGGUGCUGGGGGUGGGUCCCAGGGCGCGGGGGGAUCCCGGGGUGCCGAGGGGGGUUGCGAGAGGGUCCCGGGGUGCGGGGGGAUCCCGGGGUGCGGGAGAAUCCCGGGGUGCCGGGGGGGGUUGCGGGGUGCGAGAGGGUCCCGGGGUGCGGGGGGAUCCCGGGGUGCGGGGAUGAUCCCGGGGUGCUGGGGGGGGAUCCCAGGGUGCUGGGAGGGUCCCUGGGUGCCGGGGGGGGGUACCGGGAUAUGGGAGGGAUCCCGGGGCGUGGGGGGAUCCUGGGGUGCUGGGAGGGUACUGGGAUAUGGGAGGGAUCCCGGGGUGCGGAGGGAUCCUGGGGUGCUGGGGGGGGGUCCCGGGGUGCGGGGGGAUCCCGGGGGGGGGGUCCCGGGGUGCAGGAGGGUCCCGGGGUGCCGGCAGGAUCCCAGGAUCUGGGGAGCGAAUCCCGGGCUCCAGAGGGGAUUUCAGGGUCCAGGGGAAGGUUUUGGGUCAGGAGGGGGUCCCGGAAUCCCGAAGGAAGGGUCAGGGUCCAGAGGGGAUCCCAGAAUCCCAUCCCAUUGAUCCCAGAAUCCCAUCCCAUCCCCGCUCCACUUCCCCCAUUCCUGCCCUGGCCCAAGGAUCCCUCCUUGGGAUCAGGGACAAUCCCAAAGGGUUGGAGGGACAAUUCCCGAGGGAUUGGAGGGACAAUCCCAAAGGGUCAGAGGGACAAUCCCAAAGGGUCAGAGGAGCAAUUCCCAAGGGAUCCGUGGGACAAUCCCAAGGGAUCAGAGGGAUAA